RNAcentral lists this ribosomal RNA (307 nucleotides) under uncultured eukaryote. RNAcentral describes it as "partial 18S ribosomal RNA". It matches the Rfam family "Eukaryotic small subunit ribosomal RNA", at positions 1470 to 1796 of the family's 1831-position model. The record is from RNAcentral.
CCCUUAGACGUUCUGGGCCGCACGCGCGCUACACUGACGAAGGCAACGAGCUUUCCUUUACCGAAAGGUACGGGUAAUCUUUUGAAACUUCGUCGUGCUGGGGAUAGAUCCUUGCAAUUUUUGAUCUUAAACGAGGAAUGCCUAGUAAGCGCAAGUCAUCAACUUGCGUUGAUUACGUCCCUGCCCUUUGUACACACCGCCCGUCGCUACUACCGAUUGAAUGGUUUAGUGAGGCCUUCGGAUCCGCGACUCGUUUGUGGAGAAGUUGGACAAACUCAGUCAUCUAGAGGAAGUAAAAGUCGUAACA